This 72-nucleotide transfer RNA is filed under the name Cryptomonas paramaecium. RNAcentral describes it as "Cryptomonas paramecium tRNA-Gly". It matches the Rfam family "tRNA". Rfam says of the family: Transfer RNA (tRNA) molecules are approximately 80 nucleotides in length. Their secondary structure includes four short double-helical elements and three loops (D, anti-codon, and T loops). The record is from RNAcentral. Lineage: Eukaryota; Cryptophyceae; Cryptomonadales; Cryptomonadaceae.
GCGAGUGUAGCUCAGUGGUAGAGCACAACCUUGCCAAGGUUGUGGCCGCGCGUUCAAAUCGCGUCACUCGCU